ACGAACGCUGGCGGCGUGCUUAACACAUGCCAGUCGAACGGAAAGGCCCUGCUUUUGUGGGGUGCUCGAGUGGCGAACGGGUGAGUAACAUGUGAGUAACCUGCCCUUGACUUUGGGAUAACUUCAGGAAACUGGGGCUAAUACCGGAUAGGAGCUCCUGCUGCAUGGUGGGGGUUGGAAAGUUUCGGCGGUUGGGGAUGGACUCGCGGCUUAUCAGCUUGUUGGUGGGGUAGUGGCUUACCAAGGCUUUGACGGGUAGCCGGCCUGAGAGGGUGACCGGCCACAUUGGGACUGAGAUACGGCCCAGACUCCUACGGGAGGCAGCAGUGGGGAAUAUUGCACAAUGGGCGGAAGCCUGAUGCAGCAACGCCGCGUGCGGGAUGACGGCCUUCGGGUUGUAAACCGCUUUCGCCUGUGACGAAGCGUGAGUGACGGUAAUGGGUAAAGAAGCACCGGCUAACUACGUG
Molecule: ribosomal RNA, 467 nt
Filed under: uncultured bacterium
Lineage: Bacteria
Description: partial 16S ribosomal RNA
Rfam family: Bacterial small subunit ribosomal RNA
Source: RNAcentral